Molecule: ribosomal RNA, 490 nt
Filed under: uncultured bacterium
Lineage: Bacteria
Description: partial 16S ribosomal RNA
Rfam family: Bacterial small subunit ribosomal RNA
Source: RNAcentral
GAUGAACGCUAGCGGCAGGCUUAAUACAUGCAAGUCGAGGGGCAGCACGUUUCGCAGCAAUGCGGGAUGGUGGCGACCGGCAAACGGGUGAGGAUCGCGUACACAAUCUUCCCAGAGCAGGGGGAUAACCCGGGGAAACCCGGACUAAUACCCAGUAGUUUACUUUGUAGGCGUCUUUGAGGUAAUAAAACUCCGGUGGCUUUGGAUGAGGGUGCGUCACAUUAGGUAGUUGGCAGGGUAACGGCCUACCAAGCCUUCGAUGGGUAACUGGUGUGAGAGCACGACCCGUCAGACGGGCACUGAGGCACGGGCCCGACUCCUACGGGAGGCAGCAGUAAGGAAUAUUAGGCAAGGGACGCAAGUCCGAACCAGCCAUGCCGCGUGAAGGAGGAAGGUCCUCUGGAUUGUAAACUUCUUUUAAAGGGGGCGAAAAAAGGGUUUUUUAACUCACUUGACGGUACCUUAUGAAUAAGCACCGGCUAACUCCGUG